Molecule: ribosomal RNA, 523 nt
Filed under: Actinomycetes bacterium
Lineage: Bacteria; Bacillati; Actinomycetota; Actinomycetes
Description: bacterial SSU rRNA
Rfam family: Bacterial small subunit ribosomal RNA
Source: RNAcentral
UUCACGGAGAGUUUGAUCCUGGCUCAGGACGAACGCUGGCGGCGUGCUUAACACAUGCAAGUGGAGCGACGAACCAGGGCUUGCCCUGGGGCAAAGCCGCGAACGGGUGAGUAACACGUGGGUCACCUGCCUCGAUGACUGGGACAACCCGGGGAAACUCGGGCUAAUACCGGAUGUGCCCGCAAGGGGAAAGGAAGCUUCGGCCUCCGCAUCGAGAUGGGCCCGCGGCCCAUUAGCUUGUUGGUGUGGUAACGGCUCACCAAGGCUCCGAUGGGUAGCUGGUCUGAGAGGACGAUCAGCCACACUGGGACUGAGACACGGCCCAGACUCCUACGGGAGGCAGCAGUGGGGAAUCUUGCGCAAUGCGCGAAAGCGUGACGCAGCAACGCCGCGUGGGGGAAGAAGGCUUUCGGGUUGUAAACCCCUUUCAGUUGGGACGAAGCUCUGCCGAUGAAUAGUCGGUUGGAGUGACGGUACCUUCACAAGAAGCACCGGCUAACUACGUGCCAGCAGCCGCGGUAAU